AUUUAGUUGUGCACGCCAGGCAAUCCAUACAGCCUCUCUCCCGAAGAUUCGUUCCCCUCUGCCUCCCUCUCAUCGUCUUCUUCACCCUCCUCGGCAAGGACCAGAUCGGGAAAAAUGACCACUUAUCUUCUUCUCCGGCCGACGGGUACUGCCGCUGAUCCAUUGGCGACAAGGUGGUCAACUUUAUCUCUCGAGCCGGGAUGUAAGAUUUCUUUAGCAGCAUAAAUCAUUUUCUCGCAGCCAGAUCCCUUUUUGCUGAACUUCAAUCUCAUUCAUGCAGGCUGGGUCAUGCCAGUUUUUUGAGAUCCACGGACACGUUCACACGUACCUGCCGGAGUUGACUCGCCAUGGCAUGUCCCAGUCCCACGUGCUUCACCAUAGAUCCAGGCGCGAGCACAACUUCGUCCACAGCUGCCAGGCAAAGAUCCAACAAGCUCAGGGACGCCCCCCUGCGCUGCACCGCACUGCUGCUCGACGGACAGCCAACGCACGGUGCUGCUUUUGGCUUGCACCAACCAACUCCUUGUUGUGGCUAUCCUGUUCUUAAUCUUCCCGAGAUGAGCACUUAGUUUUAGUGUAGAGUCCUGUAAUGGGGAGAGUCUAAUUUCGUGAUUACAUUAAGUAGUACGAACACGUGUAAGCUGCAUGCUAAUGUCCUGUCUUUUGUUCUCCCACUGCUAUAUGUUAUUGUCGUGUCGAAGCAUGUAAUCAUGGUUAUCUCUGUAUAAUAUUAAUCAAGUUCUACCCUCAUGGCAGGCAUUUUUAUUGACGAUUUCUUAUGACUCACACUACAUUUAAUUAAUCAUAACCUCUCAUUUUUUUAUUCACUAUGUGUAGUCACAUCAAUCAUAGCCCAGGAGGAAGAUCUGUUAGGCGGAGAACACCUUCGAUCUUGGUGCACCAGCAGUCGCCGGCUUUUCAGGUGCGUCCGGCUUACCUUCAUUUUUCCUGCUCCUGCUGCACCCAGUUCUGCAUAAUCCUAGAUUCAGUCUUCAAAAUCACAUCUUGCUAGAUUUGUACAUUCAUAGAUUCAGAGAUCUAGUCCUUCAAAUCAAUUGCAUCUGAAGAUUCAUACAUUUCCACAGUCACUCCUUUCAGAUCACGCGAAUUUCUAGUGCACGUUCUUUACAGCAGGUUUCAUUUAGAUUAUUUUGCUUAGAAUUAACAGGGCCAGACACACUGUCCUGCUAACUUAGCAAGCAGCUCACACUUGAUGCUACCGCGUACAAGAUCGUACUUACUCACACACGAACCCAAUGCAGUUAUUUUUAUCGUUGGUUCUGACUGAAAUUCACCUUAGUGACGUAAUUCCUAAGCGGUUGUCGUCGAUUUAUCUUGGCUAAAGUCACUGCAGCGACCAAAAGCCCAAUUGCCUGUGCCUGCACUUAAUGAAUUUAAUUGCAUUUUCUGUCCACAAUCCCAGCCUCAUUAUUUUCGCCGAUAUUAUGGCCUCGAGAUGUCGGAUAAAGGCAGCUGCGACGGGGAGACCGCUGAUGACAUCGUUCAUGAAGAUAGCCAAAAUUCAGCAGAGUGGUGACUCAGCUGUGCCACCAGCACCGACAUCUCGCAUGUCUGUCAAGCACACUAUUGAAGUCAUACAGACAUUCAAUGAGUUCAAGUGAUUACUUGUCACGAGCUUUGGCUUUGGCGGCAUGCUCGAACUCCAAAUGUUGCAGAAACUGAACCUCAAAUUCAGUACUUGGACAAUGAGCAAGGUCAGCACCACCCGAUGCGCCAUUGUCCUGGCUGAGAACAAGAUACUUAAGUUCUGAGCAUAGGAUGUUCACAAAGUCUUUGGAUUCCCAUGUAGACAUCGCAACAUAAAGGGUUGGGAUGGCCACAUCAAGCCAGAAGAAAUUAAGUUCAUAAAGUCGAUGUGCUUGUCGGCAAUAGACUCAUUGGUCAUGAACUGAUGUGCUUGCUUUUCCGCCAUUUUGCUCAGCCUGAUUGUCAAGCAGAUACCGGAAACCCCUAUCUAAGCUGGAGGCACCCUAUCGAACCUGAUUUCUCAACUCUGGUGUUGUCUGAUUCUGGUUUCUUCCACACGGUAACAAUACAGAAGUAGUUAUCUGCUGACUCGAUCAAGUAUGACAUAGCAUCGUCUCAAGCGUUCAUCACACCGGUGCCGCGCCCGGAAGGCUGGAUGAUUCUAGUGUGGGAUAUGCUACAAAAAGUAUUAAAUGUGACUGAUCCUCUUUAUGCCAAAAGUUCAACCAAUCACCCAUACAAGGAACGCGACGAAGCCUUGGCAUGGAAGCUGCACAAUGCAUUACUCUCGUGCCUUGGCAUGAAUUCUAUCCCGGAUGGCCAGCAACCAAGGAAAACUGGUGGAUCAAGCAUGAACCCACAACCGAUGACAUCUUCACGACGUAAGUGACACCAGCACAACAUAUCCAAAAUACAGAGGGACAGCCUGCAUGAGUGCUUGAAGCUGCAGGGUAAUUUUUCCCAGAUUUCUAAGAAGGCAUUGUGGAAAGUCUUAGCACCUUCAGACUCCUUCGACGACUAGGAAUCCUCCUUCAUCACUCACCGGAGGAAAUUUCAUGCAUCACAUCCUGAUAGUUAUUUGUAGCUUCCCCGUAGAGUUUUUUGGGUUGUAAGGCAGUACAAAUACCAUGAACUUGCCAAAGCUAUGUUGGUUUCAGAUUCUGCCAGAACCUUGUUUAAUUUCUUAUCUGCUUCCCAU
Molecule: ribosomal RNA, 2686 nt
Filed under: Triticum aestivum (bread wheat)
Lineage: Eukaryota; Viridiplantae; Streptophyta; Magnoliopsida; Poales; Poaceae
Description: partial small subunit ribosomal RNA
Source: RNAcentral